CCAAAGGCUCUUUUCAGAGCCACCCACCACCGCACUGAGAGAAGCU
Molecule: non-coding RNA, 46 nt
Organism: Myotis davidii
Lineage: Eukaryota; Metazoa; Chordata; Mammalia; Chiroptera; Vespertilionidae
Source: Rfam